AUCAGAAGUGCGAAUGCUGACAUGAGUAACGACAAAGGGGGUGAAAAACCUCCUCGCCGGAAGACCAAGGGUUCCUGUCCAACGUUAAUCGGGGCAGGGUGAGUCGACCCCUAAGGUGAGGCCGAAAGGCGUAAUCGAUGGGAAACGGGUUAAUAUUCCCGUACUUCUGACUAUUGCGAUGGGGGGACGGAGAAGGCUAGGUGGGCCAGGCGACGGUUGUCCUGGUUCAAGUGCGUAGGCUUGAGAGUUAGGUAAAUCCGGCUCUCUUUAAGGCUGAGACACGACGUCGAGCUGCUACGGCAGUGAAGUCAUUGAUGCCAUGCUUCCAGGAAAAGCCUCUAAGCUUCAGAUAGUCAGGAAUCGUACCCCAAACCGACACAGGUGGUCGGGUAGAGAAUACCAAGGCGCUUGAGAGAACUCGGGUGAAGGAACUAGGCAAAAUGGUACCGUAACUUCGGGAGAAGGUACGCUCUUGAUGGUGAAGUCCCUCGCGGAUGGAGCUGACGAGAGUCGCAGAUACCAGGUGGCUGCAACUGUUUAUUAAAAACACAGCACUGUGCAAAAUCGCAAGAUGACGUAUACGGUGUGACGCCUGCCCGGUGCCGGAAGGUUAAUUGAUGGGGUUAGCGCAAGCGAAGCUCUUGAUCGAAGCCCCGGUAAACGGCGGCCGUAACUAUAACGGUCCUAAGGUAGCGAAAUUCCUUGUCGGGUAAGUUCCGACCUGCACGAAUGGCGUAAUGAUGGCCACGCUGUCUCCACCCGAGACUCAGUGAAAUUGAAAUCGCUGUGAAGAUGCAGUGUACCCGCGGCUAGACGGAAAGACCCCGUGAACCUUUACUACAGCUUGGCACUGAACAUUGAACCUACAUGUGUAGGAUAGGUGGGAGGCUAUGAAGACGUGACGCCAGUUGCGUUGGAGCCGUCCUUGAAAUACCACCCUUGUAUGUUUGAUGUUCUAACUUAGACCCAUUAUCUGGGUUGAGGACAGUGCCUGGUGGGUAGUUUGACUGGGGCGGUCUCCUCCCAAAGAGUAACGGAGGAGCACGAAGGUGGGCUAAUCACGGUUGGACAUCGUGAGGUUAGUGCAAUGGCAUAAGCCCGCUUAACUGCGAGAAUGACGGUUCGAGCAGGUGCGAAAGCAGGUCAUAGUGAUCCGGUGGUUCUGUAUGGAAGGGCCAUCGCUCAACGGAUAAAAGGUACUCCGGGGAUAACAGGCUGAUACCGCCCAAGAGUUCAUAUCGACGGCGGUGUUUGGCACCUCGAUGUCGGCUCAUCACAUCCUGGGGCUGAAGUCGGUCCCAAGGGUAUGGCUGUUCGCCAUUUAAAGUGGUACGCGAGCUGGGUUUAGAACGUCGUGAGACAGUUCGGUCCCUAUCUGCCGUGGGCGUUGGAAGAUUGAAGGGGGCUGCUCCUAGUACGAGAGGACCGGAGUGGACGAACCUCUGGUGUUCGGGUUGUGUCGCCAGACGCAUUGCCCGGUAGCUAAGUUCGGAAUUGAUAAGCGCUGAAAGCAUCUAAGCGCGAAGCGAGC
This 1531-nucleotide ribosomal RNA is filed under the name Vibrio cholerae. RNAcentral's name for it is "partial 23S ribosomal RNA". It matches the Rfam family "Bacterial large subunit ribosomal RNA", at positions 1281 to 2797 of the family's 2925-position model. Lineage: Bacteria; Pseudomonadati; Pseudomonadota; Gammaproteobacteria; Vibrionales; Vibrionaceae. The record is from RNAcentral.